RNAcentral lists this transfer RNA (99 nucleotides) under Corallococcus carmarthensis. RNAcentral describes it as "tRNA-Sec". It matches the Rfam family "Selenocysteine transfer RNA". Lineage: Bacteria; Pseudomonadati; Myxococcota; Myxococcia; Myxococcales; Myxococcaceae. The record is from RNAcentral.
GGUAGGGCCUCCGGACCUGGUGGCCGGCCCGGUCUUCAAAACCGGUGAGGGGCUGCGAGAGCAGUCCCUGGCGAGUUCGAUUCUCGUGCCCUACCGCCA